GUUUGGAAAGAGAGGUGGCAGAAGGGUCAGAACCUUGGUGAGACAACUCCUUCCCCACCCACGCACUUGGAGGCACACAAAACGACAGACACAGAUAAAUCAAGACAAACAGGCAGAGAUGGAAAUAGAGAUGAAACGAUGGUUGGCAGAGUCAAUCACAGUUGAACAAUUUUUGGAGGCUUACUGGAAGCAGAGAGCCAUGCUAUGGACCACAGAGCAGCCAAUGUGUAUUACAAGCAAGGAACAGCAUGCAAGGGCACUCACUGCAUCCCAAGAGAAGUUGACUGAGAGAAGCCUCUUGUAUAUCUUUUGAAAAAUGUCUUUUCAUGGAGGAUGUGCAUUUUGGGAUGGAGCUAGAAGAUAACUAAACAAAAUCUGGCUUGAAGGGCGAGGAUGUGUUUCAAAAGGAGAGAACAGCACAAUCAAACCCCUGGAGGCAGGAAAGAAGAGGAAACACUCAGGGGAUGGUGAGUAUUAGAUGAGUCUGCAGGGAGAUUCAUUUGCAGGGGUCAGACCAGGGGUCACCA
RNAcentral lists this long non-coding RNA (527 nucleotides) under Aotus nancymaae (Ma's night monkey). RNAcentral describes it as "lncRNA (ENSANAG00000038582.1)". The record is from RNAcentral. Lineage: Eukaryota; Metazoa; Chordata; Mammalia; Primates; Aotidae.